UAAUGAAUGCCUGCAUAAGUGUAACAACACAGAAAUAUGUGGCUCUCAUUGAUGCAGCAGGUUGUACCAGUGCCUGUCAUUCAUCAGACCAUAUAUGGGCAGGACAGGUCUCACUUCCUGCAUGCUUUUACCCAGGUCACGUGCUUUGUGUGGGAGUCGCAACCUCUGACACCUGAUCCAUUCCAGCAUUUUAUGAGCUCAUGCAAGAAGAAAAGGAUUCAUUUGUGCAAUUUUGUUUUGUUUGUUUGUUUUAAAUGAGUCACAAAUUCCAUUGAAGAGGAUUGAAGAGAGAGAGAGAGAGAGAGAGAGAGAGAGAGAGACUCUCUGUUCAACAGCUUCUUUUGAGUUUCAAGUUGGCACAAAUACCAGGUUGGUUUUCAGUCGUCUGAGUCUUGUUGUGGAUUUCAUUCAUGGGCUGAAUGUCACAAACGUAAAGUUUCCAGUUUCUGGUUCUGUCCUAAAAGAGAUGAUGGUCGGGUGUUCUGCACAAAUCAACCACAGAGGACAGAGUUAAAACAUCAUUAAAGCUGAAACAAGACGAAAGAACAAGCAGGAAAAGGCCAAUUCAUCCACCGUGCAUGAGAAUCUGCAGAGCUGCUGCUACUGAUGAACCUGUGGUCUUCAUGCAUUUCAUCACGUGCCAACGCGGAGCUUUUGUUCGGGGGAAAGGCCUCGUCUGUGACAGAACACGUGUCCUCUCUGUCA
Long non-coding RNA from Betta splendens (Siamese fighting fish), 705 nucleotides. RefSeq lists it as uncharacterized. The transcript is spliced from 2 exons. The record is from RefSeq and is a predicted model, not a curated record. NCBI's taxonomy places the organism in Eukaryota, Metazoa, Chordata, Actinopteri, Anabantiformes, Osphronemidae.